UGGGGAAUUUUGGACAAUGGGCGAAAGCCUGAUCCAGCAAUGCCGCGUGUGUGAAGAAGGCCUUCGGGUUGUAAAGCACUUUUGUCCGGAAAGAAAUCCUCUGGGUUAAUACCUCGGGGGGAUGACGGUACCGGAAGAAUAAGCACCGGCUAACUACGUGCCAGCAGCCGCGGUAAUACGUAGGGUGCAAGCGUUAAUCGGAAUUACUGGGCGUAAAGCGUGCGCAGGCGGUUUUGUAAGACGGAUGUGAAAUCCCCGGGCUUAACCUGGGAACUGCAUUCGUGACUGCAAGGCUAGAGUAUGGCAGAGGGGGGUAGAAUUCCACGUGUAGCAGUGAAAUGCGUAGAGAUGUGGAGGAAUACCGAUGGCGAAGGCAGCCCCCUGGGCCAAUACUGACGCUCAUGCACGAAAGCGUGGGGAGCAAACAGGAUUAGAUACCCUGGUAGUCCACGCCCUAAACGAUGUCAACUAGUUGUUGGGGAUUCAUUUCCUUAGUAACGUAGCUAACGCGUGAAGUUGACCGCCUGGGGAGUACGGUCGCAAGAUUAAAACUCAAAUGAAUUGACGGGGUCAUAGCUGUUUCCU
This 585-nucleotide ribosomal RNA is filed under the name uncultured bacterium. Its description in RNAcentral is "partial 16S ribosomal RNA". It matches the Rfam family "Bacterial small subunit ribosomal RNA", at positions 355 to 1375 of the family's 1533-position model. The record is from RNAcentral.